GACAGAGGGUGCAAACGUUGUCCGGAAUUAUUGGGCGUAAAGAGCUCGUAGGCGGUUCGUCGCGUCGGCUGUGAAAUCCCGAGGCUCAACCUCGGGUCUGCAGUCGAUACGGGCGGACUGGAGUUCGGCAGGGGAGACUGGAAUUCCUGGUGUAGCGGUGAAAUGCGCAGAUAUCAGGAGGAACACCGGUGGCGAAGGCGGGUCUCUGGGCCGAUACUGACGCUGAGGAGCGAAAGCGUGGGGAGCGAACAGG
Molecule: ribosomal RNA, 253 nt
Filed under: uncultured bacterium
Lineage: Bacteria
Description: partial 16S ribosomal RNA
Rfam family: Bacterial small subunit ribosomal RNA
Source: RNAcentral